GUCUUUUUGAGUAUAAUUUAAAGUCCAAUCUGCCCAAUGAGGAAUUUAAAUGGCUGCAGUAUUUUGACUGUACAAAGGUAGCGUAAUCAUUAGUUUCUUAAUUAGAAAAUAGUAUGAAUGAUUAGACGAGAUAAUAGCUGUCUCUAUUUAAAACAUAGAAUUUUAUUUUUAAGUAAAAAAGCUUAAAUUUAUUUAAAAGACGAGAAGACCCUAUAGAGUUUUAUAUUUUAGUUAUAUAUAAUUGUAAGAAUUUAAAAUUAUAAUAAUGAAAAUUAUUUUGUUGGGGUGACAUAAAAAUUUAAGUAACUUUUUAAUUUAGUACCACAAAUAUGUGUUUAGUUGAUCCAUAUUUUAUGAUUAAAAGAAAAAAUUACCUUAGGGAUAACAGCGUAAUUUUUUUUGAGAGUUCUUAUCAAAAAAAGAGAUUGCGACCUCGAUGUUGGAUUAAAAUUUAAUAUUGGUGAAGAAGCUAAUAAUUUAGGUCUGUUCGACCUUUGAAAUUUUACAUGAUCUGAGUUUAAACCGGCGUAAGCCAGGUUGGUUUCUAUCUUUAAAAAAAGAAAUAUUUUAGUACGAAAGGACCAAAUAUUUAUAAUAAUUAUAUAUAUUGAAUUA
This 615-nucleotide ribosomal RNA is filed under the name Eucatops sp. IBE AF220. RNAcentral describes it as "partial 16S ribosomal RNA". It matches the Rfam family "Bacterial large subunit ribosomal RNA", at positions 1819 to 2728 of the family's 2925-position model. The record is from RNAcentral. Lineage: Eukaryota; Metazoa; Arthropoda; Insecta; Coleoptera; Leiodidae.